RNAcentral lists this ribosomal RNA (730 nucleotides) under Acinetobacter sp. RNAcentral's name for it is "bacterial SSU rRNA". It matches the Rfam family "Bacterial small subunit ribosomal RNA", at positions 54 to 780 of the family's 1533-position model. Lineage: Bacteria; Pseudomonadati; Pseudomonadota; Gammaproteobacteria; Moraxellales; Moraxellaceae. The record is from RNAcentral.
CAUGCAGUCGAGCGGAGAUGAGGUGCUUGCACCUUAUCUUAGCGGCGGACGGGUGAGUAAUGCUUAGGAAUCUGCCUAUUAGUGGGGGACAACAUUCCGAAAGGAAUGCUAAUACCGCAUACGCCCUACGGGGGAAAGCAGGGGAUCUUCGGACCUUGCGCUAAUAGAUGAGCCUAAGUCGGAUUAGCUAGUUGGUGGGGUAAAGGCCUACCAAGGCGACGAUCUGUAGCGGGUCUGAGAGGAUGAUCCGCCACACUGGGACUGAGACACGGCCCAGACUCCUACGGGAGGCAGCAGUGGGGAAUAUUGGACAAUGGGCGGAAGCCUGAUCCAGCCAUGCCGCGUGUGUGAAGAAGGCCUUUUGGUUGUAAAGCACUUUAAGCGAGGAGGAGGCUACUUAGAUUAAUACUCUAGGAUAGUGGACGUUACUCGCAGAAUAAGCACCGGCUAACUCUGUGCCAGCAGCCGCGGUAAUACAGAGGGUGCGAGCGUUAAUCGGAUUUACUGGGCGUAAAGCGUGCGUAGGCGGCUGAUUAAGUCGGAUGUGAAAUCCCUGAGCUUAACUUAGGAGUUGCAUUCGAUACUGGUCAGCUAGAGUAUGGGAGAGGAUGGUAGAAUUCCAGGUGUAGCGGUGAAAUGCGUAGAGAUCUGGAGGAAUACCGAUGGCGAAGCAGCCAUCUGGCCUAAUACUGACGCUGAGGUACGAAAGCAUGGGGAGCAAACAGGAUUA